AUUGAACGCUGGCGGCAGGCCUAACACAUGCAAGUCGAGCGGAUGAAGGGAGCUUGCUCCUGGAUUCAGCGGCGGACGGGUGAGUAAUGCCUAGGAAUCUGCCUGGUAGUGGGGGAUAACGUCCGGAAACGGGCGCUAAUACCGCCUACGUCCUGAGGGAGAAAGUGGGGGAUCUUCGGACCUCACGCUAUCAGGUGAGCCUAGGUCGGAUUAGCUAGUUGGUGGGGUGAAGGCCUACCAAGGCGACGAUCCGUAACUGGUCUGAGAGGAUGAGCAGUCACACUGGAACGGAGACACGGUCCAGACUCCUACGGGAGGCAGCAGUGGGGAAUAUUGGACAAUGGGCGAAAGCCUGAUCCAGCCAUGCCGCGUGUGUGAAGAAGGUCUUCGGAUUGUAAAGCACUUUAAGUUGGGAGGAAGGGCAGUAAGUUAAUACCUUGCUGUUUUGACGUUACCAACAGAAUAAGCACCGGCUAACUUCGUG
Molecule: ribosomal RNA, 484 nt
Filed under: uncultured bacterium
Lineage: Bacteria
Description: partial 16S ribosomal RNA
Rfam family: Bacterial small subunit ribosomal RNA
Source: RNAcentral